GGUCCUACGGGACGCAGCAGUCGAGAAUCAUUCACAAUGGGGGAAACCCUGAUGGUGCGACGCCGCGUGGGGGAAUGAAGGUCUUAGGAUUGUAAACCCCUGUCAUGUGGGAGCAAAUUAAAAAGAUAGUACCACAAGAGGAAGAGACGGCUAACUCUGUGCCAGCAGCCGCGGUAAUACAGAGGUCUCAAGAGUUGUUCGGAAUCACUGGGCGUAAGGCGUGCGUAGGCUGUUUCGUAAGUCGUGUGUGAAAGUCGCGGGCUCAACCCGCGGACGGCACAUGAUACUGCGAGACUAGAGAAAUG
RNAcentral lists this ribosomal RNA (305 nucleotides) under uncultured bacterium. Its description in RNAcentral is "bacterial SSU rRNA". It matches the Rfam family "Bacterial small subunit ribosomal RNA", at positions 335 to 651 of the family's 1533-position model. The record is from RNAcentral.